This 753-nucleotide ribosomal RNA is filed under the name uncultured Bacteroidota bacterium. RNAcentral describes it as "bacterial SSU rRNA". It matches the Rfam family "Bacterial small subunit ribosomal RNA", at positions 572 to 1331 of the family's 1533-position model. Lineage: Bacteria; Pseudomonadati; Bacteroidota. The record is from RNAcentral.
UAGACGGGAUGUUAAGUCAGCUGUGAAAGUUUGGGGCUCAACCUUAAAAUUGCAGUUGAUACUGGCGUCCUUGAGUGCGGUUGAGGUAUGUGGAAUUCGUGGUGUAGCGGUGAAAUGCUUAGAUAUCACGAAGAACUCCGAUUGCGAAGGCAGCAUACUAAGCCGCUACUGACGUUGAGGCUCGAAAGUGUGGGUAUCAAACAGGAUUAGAUACCCUGGUAGUCCACACGGUAAACGAUGAAUACUCGCUGUUGGCGAUAUAAUGUCAGCGGCCAAGCGAAAGCAUUAAGUAUUCCACCUGGGGAGUACGCCGGCAACGGUGAAACUCAAAGGAAUUGACGGGGGCCCGCACAAGCGGAGGAACAUGUGGUUUAAUUCGAUGAUACGCGAGGAACCUUACCCGGGCUUAAAUUGCACUGGACAGGCCAAGAGAUUGGCUUUUCUUCGGACCAGUGUGAAGGUGCUGCAUGGUUGUCGUCAGCUCGUGCCGUGAGGUGUCGGCUUAAGUGCCAUAACGAGCGCAACCCUUGCCUUUAGUUACUAACAGGUUAUGCUGAGGACUCUAGAGGGACUGCCAUCGUAAGAUGUGAGGAAGGUGGGGAUGACGUCAAAUCAGCACGGCCCUUACGUCCGGGGCUACACACGUGUUACAAUGGGAGGUACAGAAGGCUGCUACCCGGCGACGGGAUGCCAAUCCCCAAAACCUCUCUCAGUUCGGAUUGGAGUCUGCAACCCGACUCCAUGAAGCUGGAU